Molecule: long non-coding RNA, 3202 nt
Filed under: Nicotiana tabacum (common tobacco)
Lineage: Eukaryota; Viridiplantae; Streptophyta; Magnoliopsida; Solanales; Solanaceae
Description: long non-coding RNA (NTAB_LNC006973)
Source: RNAcentral
GGGUAUCUGUCGUGCUCGAGUUCUGGUAUAUGGAUCCACACCUGAAUGAGAAAAAUAAGACUAAAUAAAUCAGUAACUCAAGACACUAUGCGACACCACAACACCUCUUGUUGGACACAUGCAAGACACGAUUGGGCUAUAUUUGGGAAUUAACCUCCAUAGCCAAAAUGUGGCUAAUCGCACAGACUCAAAAAAGAUGGCCUCAAAGACAUGGACAAACCUCCCUAAGGCUUAUAUGGUUCAAACUCCCAAUAAUCAUGGCCCAAAAUUAAUUUGUAGAAAUGAUCCAUUUUACAAAAAUGGCCGAUAUGGCCGAAGUAGCCAAAGAUGCAAACUCAAAAAGGACGGACCUUAAAGUAAUAUGACACCUAGUUGUGGACUUAAGAUCCUAAGACAUGGGUAAUUGGACCACUUUUGCGAAAAUGAUCCCAUUUUGCAAGAAUGGUCGAUGUGGCUGGACAUGUAAGAUUCGGCUAAGAACCCCCAAAGCCAAGAACCUAAGACUCACUAGGAAGACCGGACCGUAUGUGGGUUGCCUUCAUAUCUCGCCCCAAAAGACGAGAAUCAGGUUCGCGUAGUUGGGGAAGAUCGGACAUGGAAGAAAGCUUUAAAAAUGAAAUGCAACUAGUUUGAAAAAACUAUUUUUUUGUCUUUUUUAAAAAUGAUGAAAAAUGUAAAAUCUUUUUGGAUUUUCUUUUUUCUCCUUUUUUUGAAUUUUUGGAAAAUGAUGGGAAAGUGUAAAAUCUUUUUGAAUUUUUCAUUUUCAUUUUUUUUAUUUUUGGAAAAAUAUGAUAGAAAAAUGCGAGUGGGCCACUACUUGCUUCAUUUUAUAUUUCAUCCUCCAAUAUCGUUGGUCCACCAAAUGACUCUUUACCCCUAAAGAAAUGCAGCAUGUAGCACAUAAGGAUGAUUAAAUGUCUUUUUGGGCCAUAAGCCCAUUUUGACAUAAUUUGGAUAGGCCUCAUAUAACGGGACACGGUGCCUGGGACCGAACCCUACUAGGUUUAAAUGAUAUAAUGCAAAUAAGCAUGACCUAAAGGCUGACCUACGUUUGGAGUUCACUAGACAAGGCAGUUCGGGGCGGCACGUGGUUGAUGGCGGCUGCUCUAGUUGUCCGCCCACUCCACGCUCCCACACCACCCCUAAAGACACGGGUGACUCACAAAAAGGCCGUGUACGCUCAAACGUACUCCGGAAGACUUGUUGUAGAAAGAAGACUCGAGGUUAUGGAAAUGAUGACAAUUUAUAAAGCAGUAACACAUAAGGAAAAAACUAUAAACAAAUAAGCAACUAGCAAAUAAAACGACAUAAACAAAAUAAAAAUUAAAUAACGCAAACAAAACACAUAAAAACCUCAAACGAAAAUCCUAAAAAGCCAACAAGAUCAAGUACUAGCUCGAACCUGCUACUCCCCAGCAGAGUUGCCAGAGAUGUCAGACCUCUUUUUUAACAAACCUCACUAACCCGCUUAAAUAAAUAAAAAAAUUUGGGAAGCUCAAAAAGGUUUUCAAUUUUGAAAGUGACAAAAAGAUGUAUUUAAAAGGAUUAACUCAGAGUCGCCACCUGACUUUGAUUUCGGUGUGCCAGGUCACCGUUUUAAAAAUAAUUUUUCCUUUAAAAUACUUUGGACUCUAAAACUAAGUCUACACCAGAGAUUUUAGGUAAGGGGGUUCAUUUGACUCGGGGAGAAUGUGUUAGGCACUCCCCAAGUCCCGUAACUAGUACGGUUGCAUACUCGAUCUAGUUGGCUUUUAGAAUAUUCAAAUUGAGGUAAAAAUAACACAGAAAAGCAAAAUAAACACACACGAGGCUUGAGAUUGUCCCCACCUAAUAAAAGAGAAGUAAAAAUAAGAAUUCUACGAGUUCUACUAUCGACCUCCAAAUACAAAUACCUCGGGGCAUACACCGGAUAAAAUAUAUACAAGUCCUUCGGGCAUUCUCCGGAUAAAUUCAACUAAGGGAACGACCUCUCGCCUCAAAACUAACAAAAAUCCUAAGGCUUGCCUACCCAAGCGUGGUUGGCCUAAGCAUACCACUAGCGGGUCAAAGCAAUAAAAUGAAACUAGACAGAACAUUCAUGUCCUAAAUUUUCUUUCAAUUUAAGUGUCCAACCCCGCGAGUCAUUUGUAUUAAAACAAGAAUGUGAACUUAAUCCCAAAUUGUUUCAGAUUAAUUUAUACAAAAUUAACUUGACUAUAAUACCAAAAGAAGACAACACGUCAAUUUGAAGCAAAUUAAAUUUCUAGAGCUCUCAAGGUCAAAAAUCCUUUCCUGGUAUUCCUCUUAAUGAUGUUCGCUUCAAACGAGACUUAUGGACUUGUGCAAUAUUUGAGAUGACAUUUUUGGAAUAACAACAUAUUACAUCUUCAGACACAAAAUUAAGUGAAGCCAUCGCUUUAAGAUCUUACCAUAGGCUAUAGCGAUUAUGAGCAGACAAGCUAAGUUUCACUUAAUGGCCUCACGAUAUUCAAGUUACGAUCAAAACAACUCAGAACAUCAGCAAGAACAUAAGAGAAAAUAGCACCUCAAAUUCAUGUUUUGGUAAUAAAAUAAGAUAAAGAGCAAGGAUAUAAACCUGAAUGCAAGCGACUUUAGAUUUAAUAUGUUCAGGAACGAAUACAGGCAGACCGAUGUCGAAAUUUUAAAGUGCGACAGAAGAUGAACAAGAAAACAACAAUCGAAACCAGAACCGUGAACCUCGACUCUGAAUCACACUCGAAACCAACUCCGGACAGCAUCGAUUUCAAUAACCUUAGCUUGACUCCAUAGUUUAAAUUCUUCUCAUUCUCCUUACUGUUUUUCGGAGCUCAUGCUCUAUUUUUCGGAUCACAUGCUCUGAUUUUUGUCGCCUUUCUAGACCUUUUUCUGUUCUUAAUCCCUCCUCUAUAUAUGUAUGUUUGAGGCUGCUAGGAGAUAGGGCUGGGUGGGUGUUUUGUGAAGGUUGCUAAAUGGUGACGGGGCUGGUUGGUCGAAGAAGCAGCAGCUGGCAGUUUUGGGUGGUCCAGUGGCUGGUGGUUUGUGUGUGAGAUCAAGGUUGUGAGUUGAGCUGAAGGUUGCUAUGGUGUUUUGAAAUUAGGAAGAAGAAGAAGGGUCAGCGGCGUGUGUCUUGGAGAAGAAGAUGGCACAUCCCUUUUGUAUGUCUUGUGUCUACUCUUUUAGGUUCCCUUAGGUCUAAGUUUUUUGGGUUGCUCUCCGAUCAGGG